This 264-nucleotide ribosomal RNA is filed under the name uncultured bacterium. RNAcentral describes it as "partial 16S ribosomal RNA". It matches the Rfam family "Bacterial small subunit ribosomal RNA", at positions 90 to 353 of the family's 1533-position model. The record is from RNAcentral.
GGCGACCGGCGCACGGGUGCGUAACGCGUAUGUAACCUACCUAUAACAGGGGCAUAACACUGAGAAGUUGGUACUAAUUCCCCAUAAUAUUCGGAGAGGCAUCUCUCCGGGUUGAAAACUCCGGUGGUUAUAGAUGGACAUGCGUUGUAUUAGCUAGUUGGUGAGGUAACGGCUCACCAAGGCAACGAUACAUAGGGGGACUGAGAGGUUAACCCCCCACACUGGUACUGAGACACGGACCAGACUCCUACGGGAGGCAGCAUG